GCGGAAAUGGUGGAACUGGCAGACACACUUGAUUUAGGCUCAAGAUAUUGAGGGUUCGACUCCCUCUUUCCGUACAA
This 77-nucleotide transfer RNA is filed under the name Chryseobacterium sp. 5_R23647. Its description in RNAcentral is "tRNA-Leu". It matches the Rfam family "tRNA". Rfam says of the family: Transfer RNA (tRNA) molecules are approximately 80 nucleotides in length. Lineage: Bacteria; Pseudomonadati; Bacteroidota; Flavobacteriia; Flavobacteriales; Weeksellaceae. The record is from RNAcentral.